AUAACAUGGUAGGAAGGACUGUUUGACAAAGUGAAUGCCUGUCUUUCAGAAAAUACAGGGAGGUGUGAUGUACCCAUUAUCACAAGCAGAUGGAAUGCCUAUAGAGUCGGAUCUCAUCUACAUAUCACCUAUUAUAUGUAGUUAUUGAUGGAUAAAUACUUCAACAGCUAAAGGCAGAAAGAGAGCAGUUCACACAGACGUUAUUGGUGAUUCACUCUUGAGUCAUGAAAAGUCAACCUUGAGCCACAGAAAGUCAACCUUGAGCCAUGCAGAGUGGAGAGUCAUACAUGCCAUUCCUGGGACCAUCAAAAAUGGCAGAGGUCACACAAAAGGCAAAACUUUUAAGAGGUGUUUUAAACGUCGUAUGGGCCAAAGAGAAGCUGGAUUUCCUAUUGGAGUCAGCUGUAACACACGUGUGAUGAAAUUGGCCUGUGAGGACAAGGCAGUGAGCAGAGAGGACAGCAGUCCUUACGAGAUCAAGCUCUAAGGUGAGGUUGCAGGAUCUGAAGGCCAGC
RNAcentral lists this long non-coding RNA (515 nucleotides) under Pan troglodytes (chimpanzee). RNAcentral's name for it is "long non-coding RNA NONPTRT010338". Lineage: Eukaryota; Metazoa; Chordata; Mammalia; Primates; Hominidae. The record is from RNAcentral.